Molecule: signal recognition particle RNA, 103 nt
Filed under: Levilactobacillus brevis ATCC 14869 = DSM 20054
Lineage: Bacteria; Bacillati; Bacillota; Bacilli; Lactobacillales; Lactobacillaceae
Description: Lactobacillus brevis ATCC 14869 = DSM 20054 Bacterial signal recognition particle RNA
Rfam family: Bacterial small signal recognition particle RNA (bases 8-94)
About the family: The signal recognition particle (SRP) is a universally conserved ribonucleoprotein involved in the co-translational targeting of proteins to membranes. Archaeal SRP consists of a 7S RNA and homologues of the eukaryotic SRP19 and SRP54 proteins.
Source: RNAcentral
CGUUAAGGCCUUGGAGCAAGGGUGGGCUUACGAAUCGUGUCAGGUCCGGAAGGAAGCAGCACUAAGUUUGUUUCGCUUUGUGCUUCAAGUUUAUGAGCUAAUU